CCUCUUGUGGAGACACGUGGAAGCACUUUAGCACGCUGCUGUAGGUUCAUAGCUUCCCUCCAAACAACACAAACAUUCGAGAAUGUCUCUUCAGGUUUGCAUCUACAGAUCCAGUUGGAGAUGUAUCAGUUGGACUAGCUUUGAAGCAGUCCAAAGUUUCCCCCUCCCAGCGUCUCAGACAGGGACUGAAGGCAUGCAGCAUCCGUUCUGAAACACCCACACCAUCCGCAGUAAUACACUCAUUAGUGUCAGAGCUUCAGCGGGAAUCAUGAGACCUGAAAAGCAGACGCGUUCACAUUGUUCUGACUGACAGCACAGCAACAAAACAAUCCACCAGUUACGAUUCACUGUCACAUUGUUCUGAAAGUAGAACCAGAAUAGUUAAGUGUUGUGUUGACAGUCUGAGACUGGAGUGAUCCGAUCAUUAUCAACCUGUGCAAAAUUAAAUAUAAAAAUUAGGUUAUCAUUUUCUCCUAAAAUUAUGUCCUCGUGUUUGAAAUAUUUCUUCUGAAGCCAUUUCAUAGCAUGUUUUAUUGACCUAAACAUAGCCUUCCCUUCAGUAAUAAAACAUGGAGCAAAUUAAUAGGUAAACUAUUGCUUUAAUCAUUGCUUUAAAAUUCUGUGUAAAUCUAUAGAGCAUUAUUAUUGUGAGAUGAGGAAUAUCAUCAUCACAACUGCUAUGAAUGGCAUUAGUUUGGGGUUGGUACGAUUUUGAACGUCUUUUAUGCUCUCCAAAGCUGCAUUUAUUUGAUCACAAAAUACAGUAAAAGCUGUAAUGUUGUGUAAUAUUAUUGCAAUUUAAAAUAAGUGUUUUCUAUUUGAAUAUAUUAUACAAUGUAAUUUAUUCCUGUGAUGCAAAGCUAAUUUUUCAGCAUCAUUUCUCCAGUCUUCAGUGUCACACGAUCCUUCGGAAAUUUUUAAUAUGAGAUUUUGCUGCUCAAGAAACAUUUCUUUUCAUAAUAAAUGUUGAAUGCAGUUGUGCUGCUUUAUA
Molecule: long non-coding RNA, 991 nt
Organism: Carassius gibelio (silver crucian carp)
Lineage: Eukaryota; Metazoa; Chordata; Actinopteri; Cypriniformes; Cyprinidae
Exons: 2
Source: RefSeq, a predicted model, not a curated record